GCCAAGGUGGCGGAGUGGUUAACGCGUCAGAUUGCUAAUCUGAUUCCCUCACGGGAGCACAGGUUCGAAUCCUGUCCUUGGCG
This 83-nucleotide transfer RNA is filed under the name Nanobdellota archaeon. Its description in RNAcentral is "tRNA-Ser". It matches the Rfam family "tRNA". Rfam says of the family: Transfer RNA (tRNA) molecules are approximately 80 nucleotides in length. Lineage: Archaea; Nanobdellati; Nanobdellota. The record is from RNAcentral.